CUGGCGGCGUGCCUAAUACAUGCAAGUCGAGCGCGGGAAGCGAGCUGAUCCCUUCGGGGUGACGCUCGUGGAACGAGCGGCGGACGGGUGAGUAACACGUGGGCAACCUGCCUGUAAGAUCGGGAUAACUCCGGGAAACCGGGGCUAAUACCGGGUAAUACUUUCUUUCGCAUGAAGGAAAGUUGAAAGAUGGCUUCUCGCUAUCACUUACAGAUGGGCCCGCGGCGCAUUAGCUAGUUGGUGAGGUAACGGCUCACCAAGGCGACGAUGCGUAGCCGACCUGAGAGGGUGAUCGGCCACACUGGGACUGAGACACGGCCCAGACUCCUACGGGAGGCAGCAGUAGGGAAUCUUCCGCAAUGGACGAAAGUCUGACGGAGCAACGCCGCGUGAACGAUGAAGGUCUUCGGAUCGUAAAGUUCUGUUGUUAGGGAAGAACAAGUACCGUGCGAAUAGAGCGGUACCUUGACGGUACCUAACGAGGAAGCCCCGGCUAACUACGUGCCAGCAGCCGCGGUAAUACGUAGGGGGCAAGCGUUGUCCGGAAUUAUUGGGCGUAAAGCGCGCGCAGGCGGUUCCUUAAGUCUGAUGUGAAAGCCCACGGCUCAACCGUGGAGGGUCAUUGGAAACUGGGGAACUUGAGGACAGAAGAGGAGAGUGGAAUUCCACGUGUAGCGGUGAAAUGCGUAGAUAUGUGGAGGAACACCAGUGGCGAAGGCGACUCUCUGGUCUGUUUCUGACGCUGAGGUGCGAAAGCGUGGGUAGCAAACAGGAUUAGAUACCCUGGUAGUCCACGCCGUAAACGAUGAGUGCUAGGUGUUAGGGGGCUUCCACCCCUUAGUGCUGAAGUUAACGCAUUAAGCACUCCGCCUGGGGAGUACGGCCGCAAGGCUGAAACUC
Molecule: ribosomal RNA, 900 nt
Filed under: Halobacillus sp. JSM 102030
Lineage: Bacteria; Bacillati; Bacillota; Bacilli; Caryophanales; Bacillaceae
Description: bacterial SSU rRNA
Rfam family: Bacterial small subunit ribosomal RNA
Source: RNAcentral